Molecule: ribosomal RNA, 218 nt
Filed under: uncultured prokaryote
Description: partial 16S ribosomal RNA
Rfam family: Bacterial small subunit ribosomal RNA
Source: RNAcentral
ACAGAGGUGGCAAGCGUUGUUCGGAAUUAUUGGGCGUAAAGAGCACGUAGGCGGUCCUACAAGUCAGCUGUGAAAUCCUUCUGCUCAACGGAAGAACGGCAGUUGAUACUAUAGGGCUGGAAUGCGGGAGGGGAGAGUGGAACUUCUGGUGGAGCGAUGAAAUGCGUAGAUAUCAGAAGGAACGUCGGCGGCGAAAGCUACUCUCUAGACCGUAACUG